RNAcentral lists this ribosomal RNA (363 nucleotides) under uncultured eukaryote. RNAcentral's name for it is "bacterial SSU rRNA". It matches the Rfam family "Eukaryotic small subunit ribosomal RNA", at positions 592 to 1018 of the family's 1831-position model. The record is from RNAcentral.
CAAUAGCGUAUAUUAAAGUUGUUGCAGUUAAAAGCUCGUAGUUGGAUUUCUAGAUAAGUGGGUACUUGUACUUUGCUUGUCUACCAGUCUUAGACUGUUACUGUGAGGAAAUUAGAGUGUUUCAAGCAGGCAUGCGCCUUGAAUACAUUAGCAUGGAAUAAUAAGAUAGGACCUCGGUUCUAUUUUGUUGGUUUCUAGAGCUGAGGUAAUGAUUAAUAGGGAUAGUUGGGGCGAUUAGUACUUAACUGUCAGAGGUGAAAUUCUCCGAUUUGUUUAAAGACUAACUUAUGCGAAAGCAUUUGCCAAGGAUGUUUUCAUUAAUCAAGAACGAAAGUUAGGGGAUCAAAGACGAUUAGAUACCAU